This 495-nucleotide ribosomal RNA is filed under the name Triticum aestivum (bread wheat). RNAcentral's name for it is "partial small subunit ribosomal RNA". Lineage: Eukaryota; Viridiplantae; Streptophyta; Magnoliopsida; Poales; Poaceae. The record is from RNAcentral.
AGGUGGCUGCCACCUCCAAAUGGCAAGGCAAAGAUUAAUGUGGACGGAGCAGUGGCCAGGUCUCGGUGUGGAGGGGCAGCUGCGGCGAUAUGUCGUGACCAGGACGGCUUAUACCUGGGCUCAUCGGCAGUUGUUUUUCAGGGAAUUACUGAUCCUGUGAUGCUAGAGAAUUAUGCGUGCCGGGAAGCUUUGGCAUUGGCAGAAGAUUUUGCGACUACCAAUAUCUGUGUGGCCUCGGAUUGCCAAGAAGUGGUUAAUGAUAUCAACAGGAGGACAGGCGGCCCCAACGCUGCUCUAGUGCAUGAAAUAAUGCUUCGUUGUAAUAGUUUUAAUUCAUACUCGCUUAUUCAUGAGCGUAGGAACCAUAAUUGUGAGGAUCACAAUCACGUCAAAUUCGCUGGUAACGUAGGACUGGGUAGACAUGCUUCUUUGGGCUAUUCUCAUGACCCAAACCUUGUACCUAUGUCGUUUGUUUUUUUAAUGAAUAAAGGUUGA